AGACUCAAUCCUAGGCUCUUAUACCACUAUAAUCUGUCACGCCCGGGUACCAGCGGAAGCAUAUCCGGUACGUACACAGACCCGCCAUACACCUGCAGUAUAUAAGGCGUCUACAAAGAAAACAUGUCAAUAGAAGAAAAACAUAGAAGAAUCCUAUCCUGAUAUCAGAGCAAAGUAUAAGUCAAUAAUACCAUUAUCAGAAAAACAGUGAGUAUAUAAUCCAAAAUCUCAACAUCACAGAGAGAUAUCAAAACUAAAAUCCCCGAUUCAAACUACUCAUAUACAUCAC
Molecule: long non-coding RNA, 289 nt
Filed under: Ananas comosus (pineapple)
Lineage: Eukaryota; Viridiplantae; Streptophyta; Magnoliopsida; Poales; Bromeliaceae
Description: long non-coding RNA (ACOM_LNC043684)
Source: RNAcentral